GGACGAACGCUGGCGGCGUGCUUAACACAUGCAAGUCGAACGGAAAGGCCCUGCUUUUGUGGGGUGCUCGAGUGGCGAACGGGUGAGUAACACGUGAGUAACCUGCCCUUGACUUUGGGAUAACUUCAGGAAACUGGGGCUAAUACCGGAUAGGAGCUCCUGCUGCAUGGUGGGGGUUGGAAAGUUUCGGCGGUUGGGGAUGGACUCGCGGCUUAUCAGCUUGUUGGUGGGGUAGUGGCUUACCAAGGCUUUGACGGGUAGCCGGCCUGAGAGGGUGACCGGCCACAUUGGGACUGAGAUACGGCCCAGACUCCUACGGGAGGCAGCAGUGGGGAAUAUUGCACAAUGGGCGGAAGCCUGAUGCAGCAACGCCGCGUGCGGGAUGACGGCCUUCGGGUUGUAAACCGCUUUCGCCUGUGACGAAGCGUGAGUGACGGUAAUGGGUAAAGGAGCACCGGCUAACUACGUG
This 469-nucleotide ribosomal RNA is filed under the name uncultured bacterium. RNAcentral describes it as "partial 16S ribosomal RNA". It matches the Rfam family "Bacterial small subunit ribosomal RNA", at positions 27 to 507 of the family's 1533-position model. The record is from RNAcentral.